ACCUUUUGCCCAGCUCUCAUUAUAUGUAAACCGUUACUUAGAAUAGCGGUUCAUUAUUGAAGACUGCUACUCUAAGUAGCGGUUUACCACAAUCCCCAAUUUCGACAUAGGUUUUCCAAUUCCUCACAUUUCACGAUCUCUUUAUUUCUCCCAAAAAAUUUCUCCCUCUCUCUCUUCCGACGCUUGGCUACUCCAACCUUAAGCCCAGUCACGCCGUCAAUCUUUGCCCCACACUCGUCGUUUACAAUAGCCGCGCCACUAUCCCUCACAACAGCUGCCCACACUCGCUUAUUGUUUUGGUUAUGUAAUAGUCUAUAUUUUAAGCAUGUUUUAAAUAAAGUGAUUAUGUUUAUUACUUUAACUAAGUUUUAAAAGAAAUAUAAGAAAAGGAUUAUUACUUGAGAAUUAUUAUGUUAAAUACAAUUAUAUCUUUGUACGUUUUUUUUUUAAUGAAUAAUUUGAGUUAAAAGAAAAAAAAAAUCUCUAUUAGGUGGCUUAUGUGGGAAUUCCCAUAUUACAUCUUUGUUGUCAACUCCUCAAACAACAUGACACGAAAAUAAAUAGGGAGAAUUUAGUGAAGAUGAAACCCCAAAUUUUUUCUUUUCUCUCACCUCUGUUCUACCCGUCGAUUGCAAGAAGCAUGCAGUCAUUUUUCAGUCUUUGUUCCUUCAUCAAAGUUGUAGAUAUUUUCGAGUUAUUGAAUUUAGAUCCAAAAAUCGUCCAAUUCGGAGUUUGGAGCUGUGAGUUAUGGCAUUUGCAAGUUUGGUCUUGCUACCAGCAGUUUCUUUCGAGGUUCUAUUGUUGUUGCUGCAGCUUUGUGGGUGUUGCUGUUGUUGUUGUGUUGAUGUUGGUAUUCCCUUCUACUUCUUCAUUUCCAUUUCUCUUGUGUGUUUGAAAGUAAAGUUCAAAUCUUUAUCUUAUUCUCCUUAAGUUCAUCAGCAUAAAUUCAUAUUUGUAUGGGUUUAAUUCUAUGAUUCCAUAAAUUAAUUUAGCUCUAAACCUUGGUAUUCUUGAUUUUGAUUUGCAAAAUCGUCCAAUUCUUGUUUGAUGGAUUGGAACUUAUUUUGGAACUUAUAAUCUUAGGGAUUUUGCAAAAUCAAAUUUUAUAAUUCAAAUUGAAAUCAUAAUUUCAUGUUUUGCAAAUUGGUGUGGUAAUUUCCAAAGUGUAUUAUUAGAGCUAGCUUGUGAUAUUAAUCAUGGGGGAUAGGUAAGUGGAGAUUUUGGUGAUUGAUUGAGCAGAUGGUCUUAGUUAUGAUAUUGGAAUAAGUUUAAGGAGGAAUUCUAAUUAAAAGGUUUUAUUAUAAUAGCUUAGGUUGUUGAGAAUUGUUGGUAUCAUCUAGAAAAUCAUAAUUAGCUCAUAAGGUUUAAGUUGAUUAAUAUCUAUUUGAAAAUUGGUCGUUAAUUAUGCUCGUUUUGUUGAGGUUGUGGAGUUCAAGCUGGAUUUGGAGAUUGAAUUAUGAUGCUUGGAUGUUUCAUAUUAUUAUUCUUGAAUUUAUCUUGAAGUGAUUAUCGUUUGAGGUGUAUGUUCAAGUUUCGGAAUGAAUCAAGAGAAAGAAGUUUCAGUUAAGAUAUGGAAAUUAAAUUAGUGAUUCGAAGUUAUAUUUAGAAUAUAAGUUGUUGAAUAUUAAGUUCUCAUUUGAUAUUUAAGUACUAUAUUGUUUUGGGAAUCAAGGUAUUAUGUAAUCUGUUAUUGGUUUUGAAGAUGAUUUGUUGUGGGCCCUGACCCACAGGUCCAGGAUCGUGUAAAUAGGUUAUGUUUCCGCUGUGAGUAAAUAUUAAUUUGAGGUUUAUUAAGCGUUGAUUGUAAUUAGAGAAUCUUAAGUGUGUUUAGCUAGCAGCUUGGAAGUGCGGGCUGUUACAGGUUAUCUUAUUUUUAAUUGAUUAUUUUUUAAUUUAAUUUGCUUAGUAUGUCAUAUUUAUUAUGUGUUUUAGCUUUCUUAGUGUUGUUAGAUGGCAAUUAUUUGGUUUGAUUGGUUUAUUCUAGUAGUUUACAUGAUUAGCAUUUGUGAUGGUUGAUUUAGCAUGAAUUGGAAGGUGAUAUAUUGAUAAUGGAAGCUUAUGGAUUAAUGAGAUUGGUUGGUUAAAAAUGGUGUUGAGCAUCUUGUGAUGGUUGAUUUUGCAUAAUUGUUGUGUUAAGGUUGCAAAUGCUAUUAGUAUAAGUGAAGAAUGGUGUUGAUAUUGAUUUAAUGUGUUGAAUAAGAAUAACUUGAUCGUUGCCUUUUUUGUUUGUAGAAUAUGGAACAACCUAAAUAUCCUUUAUAUCUUUAUUGGAAUGGUGAAUAGGGUGUAUGAUGUAGCUGGUUGUGAUCGUAUGUAUGUGGAGUUGAAAUUGUUUAUGAGAUAUCUGAUGCCGGGGAAAUAUGUGCCAAUUGCACUAGAGGAUGACGACUGACUCAGUGCUAUGUGGCUUUCAGUGACACAAACGUCAGCCAUGGCAAUGGAGGUGUACAUUGAACAAGUUCUAAAGGAGAUAAAUCUCCAAAGUAAUUUGGGUUAUGUUUUACAAUGGACUUUAGGGAUAGCAUGGAAGUACCGACAUCUGCUCUUUAUAUGCAAUUUGAAUCAUUUACUAGCAUGUUGUCAUAUCCAAAUUAUGUCAAUAAGCACAUGAAUGAGUUCGGUUCUCCUGGUUCAUCUCCCCACAUACCAUCCACAUUCCAUCUCGAUACUCUAGAUAGAAAUGAUGCUGAUUUUUUGGGAAAUGAGGAGCAUGUGGAUCCUGAUAGGGAGGAGGAUGACGAUGCAAGGAAGCAGCUGACAAGGCAAUAAAGUCUGGUGUUCCUUCACAAGAUUGGCUCAUAAUCGACGAAGUUGAUCAAAGGUUAAUAGAUGCAUGGGUGACUUAGAAAUGUAAUGGCUCAUUGAGUGUGGCUUCUAAAAUUUGAUAUAGGACAAGAAUUUGCAUCAUUGCAGCAAUUAAAGAAUUUUGUGAAAGCAUGGUCGAUCACCAGAAACUAGAUGUUUCGGGAGUUAGAGUCAAAGCCCACAAAGUAUGUCAUUGAAUGUAUCAGAAAGGAAGUGUGUCAUUGUCCAUGUAGGUUGCGUGCAAUCAUGACUCCGUCGUAUUCAUUCAAAAUUGUACGAUAUGGUGGUCCACAUGCAAGCAAUUAUUUGGGAGACAUAAGACCUGGAGACCAUCCUCUCAUUUCCUCGGAUUUCGUUGCUGAUCUUAUCGAUGAUUUCAUUAGGACUGAUCCUUCAUUCAAAGUUCAAUUCGUCUUAACUUUUGUCAAGACCCAAUAUCAAUUUUCAAUAAGGUACAAGAGAGUUGGUUAGCCAAACGAAAGGCAAUAACCAACAUUUUUGGUGAUUGGGAUAAGUCUUAUGAAGAGUUACCUAGGUACUUGCAAGCCUUGAAAAAGUCCAAUCGAGGCACUGUCGUGUAUUGGUGUAUGAUCCCAACACAAGACCCUUCUGUGCACAUCUUUAAGAGGGUAUAUUUAAACCCUCCAUUACUGGACUCCGUCAUUGUCGAUCUCUUAUCACUAUAGAUGGUACUCACUUGUACGGGAAUUAUAAACGCAAAUUAAUUGUUAUGGGUAAAAAUGCUAAAUUUUAGCUAUUCCCACUUGUCUUUGCUGCUGUAGAGGAGGAAAAGCAUAGACUCAAGGUCUUGGUUUUUAGCUUGCAUUAGGCGUUAUGUCACAGAUAGAAAGUGCUUGUGUGCGAUCUCUGAUCAUCAUUGGGGUAUUCUUGCAGCUAUGAACGAGCCCCAAAUUAGGUUGGGAAGAGCCAUAUGCCCAUCACCAAUUUUGUGUGCGACAUAUUGCUUCCAACUUGAAUACGAAGUAUAGGAAUGCUGCCAUCAAGAAUCUAUUCGGAAAAGCUGCAUAUGCUAGGAAAAAGAUGAAGUUUUUGUACUAUAUGGAUCGAAUUGGCUCCAUUAAUGUCAAGGCGGCUAAAUAUCUAUUGGACAUUCCCCUUCAUCUAUGGUCUCUUCAUCAUGAUGGUGGAUGUAGAUAUGGUGUGCAAACCACAAACAUGUCCGAAGUGUUUAAUGGCGUCCUAAAAGGGGGAGAUGUCUUCCGGUCACUGCUUUGGUAAGAACAAGAAUUAUCUGAUGAGGCAUCGACCACAGUGCAGUGUGAUGAGCACGAUAGACGUGUUGUUUAGGGUACUCCAUUCAGUGGUCGUACUCAUGUCAUUGAGAAGUUUAUGAUAUGGUAUCAUUGCAUCACAAGGUUGCGCAUGACGGAUCCAUUGAGGCAACCUCCUUCUACACAUUAUGAGCAUGCGUCUGCAAAUAUAGUACUAGUAUGUGACAUGACUUGUAUUUAUACUUUUAUUUAUUUUUGAAACUACAUAAUGUAUGUUUUCCUUUCUAUGCAGGCACAUGAUUCAUCUGAUGGUGCUCAUAGGUGUAGUAUUAUACUGGAGGUUGUUGAGUCAUUGCCUCCAAAUAUGGGCACGAGCUAUAUGUGUAGACAUUGCAGACCAUGGGGGUUGUGUAUUGACGUUGUUGGCCGAGUUGGACAUGGACACAUCUUACAGGGCGUGUCAACUUUUGUUUCCCGUACAUCGACUUCUACAUCUUCUACGCCCGUUGUCCAUACAUCUACCGCGACACCUUUGCUUUCGCCUCCAGUAUGUCAGAGGACCUACCGACGACGUUCGGCCACCAUUCCGUCUUCUCUUAAUGCCAUUGCGGAGUCUGAUGAGUCCACACCUAGUUCAUCUAGACCUACACAAAAUAAGAAGAGGGUGUAAUAUCCUAAAAACUUAAAUGUGUUUAAGUAAAUAAUUAGUUAUAAUAAUGUAGUUAGUUUUGUUGUGAAAUCACUAAAGCACAAAAUAUCCAAAAUUCACCAAAAUUUUACUAAGCCACGUUUAGAGUGAAAGUAUGGGACAAUUUUUGAUUUUUCGAUUACAAAACAAAAAGGAAAAAGAGAAAAAGCUUCCAUGGUCAACUACUCCAUUAAUAUUGCCUUCUUCCUCACUCAUUCAUGGCACUUGGCAAGCAUGCCAAGACCCUCCAUCCUUUUUCCUAUGCCAAAAAUAUGUCACCAAUCCAUCUUCUUAGCUUCUUCAAGUCAAAAAUUCAGAAUAUUUACUUCAAUCUUCUUCCUCCCAACUACUGAUUUAGUAUUCCUAAUUCCCUUAUAAAUGGCCUCACCAAGAACACCAUCAACAACAAUUCUCAUCCUCUCAUCUCACCUCACCACCACCUACGAACUAACCAGAAUUUUCAUUCACAACUCGCGAGAAAACAUGACCCAAAGAAACCCAAAAGAAAUAAAAAAAAACCCAUAUAUAUCCCUCUCUCUCCUCUGUUUCGGGUUUCAAACGCCACCACCACCGUCUGCCGCCGGCGCGCGCUACACCAGGACAGUCAUCUAUCACUAUGCGACACUUGUCGGCCACCCGCGGCUCGCUGGAGCUCCGCCACACCACUCACACCUCCUCUCUCUCUCUCUCUCUCUCUCUCCCUCUCUCUCUCUCUCCAGCGCACUCUUCUUCCUCGCUCCUCUCCUUCUUCACGCCUACUGUACGUGCAGCACCACGCCACAGAAGACGACCUCCGCGACCGCGUCUCGCUGCUCGUCGCCGUUGUUCGCUGCUCGCCGUCGCCGACCACCUGAGCCGAAAUCCGCAUGCCUCACUCGUGGUCCUCUCUGCUCCUAGUAGCAGAGGUAAUGACCCCUUUCUUUUAAAAUUCUGAUUUCCAAAGUUUUAAUCCAUGCCCAAGUUUAAAUCCUUUGUUAGUAUACUAGUUUGGGCAUAGGACCUUGGACUCGGAACUAAGGCUUAGCACUUUCAUUUAUUGUUUGUAUGUUAGUUAGUUAGUUAGUUAAAACUAUGUUAGAUUUUAAACUAUGUUUGUGAUUGAUCUAUCAUUAUGCGUCAUUUUCUUAAUCUUGCUUCAUCAUUAAGAAAUUCUUUGCUUAACCAUUAGUUUUUAUGAAUUUUAUGAUGGAUGAACUUGGUCUUUGGUGAUUCA
This is a long non-coding RNA of Beta vulgaris subsp. vulgaris (sugar beet), 5938 nucleotides long. RefSeq lists it as uncharacterized. The record is from RefSeq and is a predicted model, not a curated record. NCBI's taxonomy places the organism in Eukaryota, Viridiplantae, Streptophyta, Magnoliopsida, Caryophyllales, Amaranthaceae. The transcript has 2 exons.